This 253-nucleotide ribosomal RNA is filed under the name uncultured bacterium. RNAcentral's name for it is "partial 16S ribosomal RNA". It matches the Rfam family "Bacterial small subunit ribosomal RNA", at positions 524 to 776 of the family's 1533-position model. The record is from RNAcentral.
UACAGAGGGUGCGAGCGUUGUUCGGAAUUAUUGGGCGUAAAGGGCGCGUAGGCGGUGCGGUAAGUCACCUGUGAAACCUCCGGGCUCAACUCGGAGCCUGCAGGCGAAACUGCCGUGCUGGAGUGUGGGAGAGGUGCGUGGAAUUCCCGGUGUAGCAGUGAAAUGCGUAGAUAUCGGGAGGAGCACCUGUGGCGAAAGCGGCGCACUGGACCACAACUGACGCUGAGGCGCGAAAGCUAGGGGAGCAAACAGG